GACGUAGGGUGCGAGCGUUGUCCGGAUUUAUUGGGCGUAAAGAGCUCGUAGGCGGCUCGUCGCGUCGACCGUGAAAACCCGCGGCUUAACUGCGGGCUUGCGGUUGAUACGGGCGGGCUAGAGUUCGGUAGGGGAGACUGGAAUUCCUGGUGUAGCGGUGAAAUGCGCAGAUAUCAGGAGGAACACCAGUGGCGAAGGCGGCACUCUGGGCCGGUACUGACGCUGAGGAGCGAAAGCGUGGGGAGCGAACAGG
This 253-nucleotide ribosomal RNA is filed under the name uncultured bacterium. Its description in RNAcentral is "partial 16S ribosomal RNA". It matches the Rfam family "Bacterial small subunit ribosomal RNA", at positions 524 to 776 of the family's 1533-position model. The record is from RNAcentral.